This 481-nucleotide ribosomal RNA is filed under the name uncultured bacterium. RNAcentral's name for it is "partial 16S ribosomal RNA". It matches the Rfam family "Bacterial small subunit ribosomal RNA", at positions 28 to 507 of the family's 1533-position model. The record is from RNAcentral.
GAUGAACGCUGGCGGCGUGCUUAACACAUGCAAGUCGAACGAAGCACUUUUUUUGAUUUCCUUCUGGGCUGAUUAUUUUGUGACUGAGUGGCGGACGGGUGAGUAACUCGUUUUUAACCUGCCUUGUACAGGGGGAUAACAGUUUGAAACGGCUGCUAAUACCGCAUAAGCGCCCAGCAUCGCAUGAUGCAGUGUGAAAAACUCCGGUGGUAUAAGAUGUACCCGCGUUGGAUUAGCUAGUUGGUGAGGUAACGGCCCACCAAGGCGACGAUCCAUAGCCGAGAUGAGAGGGUGACCGGCGACAUUGGGACUGAGACACGGCCCAAAAUACUACGGGAGGGAGCAGUGGGGAAUAUUGCACAAUGGGCGAAAGAAUGAAGGAGCGACGCCGCGUGAGCGAAGAAGUAUUUCGGUAUGUAAAGCUCUAUCAGCAGGGAAGAUAAUGACGGUACCUGACGAAGAAGCACCGGCUAAAUACGUG